This is a long non-coding RNA of Oncorhynchus tshawytscha (Chinook salmon), 390 nucleotides long. NCBI's taxonomy places the organism in Eukaryota, Metazoa, Chordata, Actinopteri, Salmoniformes, Salmonidae. The record is from Ensembl.
GGGUAUUGUGUGUAGAUUGAUUAAAAAAAAAAAGUGUAAUUCAUUUUAGAAUAAGGCUGUAAAGUGGAAAAACUCAAGGGGGCAGACAUGUCAAUAGGUACCAGUCAUGGUGAGUAGAGACAUCAUGCCAAUAGGUACCAGUCAUGGUGAGUAGAGACAUGUCAAUAGGUACCAGUCAUGGUGAGUAGAGACCACAUGUCAAUAGGUACCAGUCAUGGUGAGUAGAGACAUCAUGCCAAUAGGUACCAGUCAUGGUGAGUAGAGACAUCAUGUCAAUAGGUACCAGUCAUGGUGAGUAGAGACAUCAUGCCAAUAGGUACCAGUCAUGGUGAGUAGAGACAUCAUGCCAAUAGGUACCAGUCAUGGUGAGUAGAGACAUCAUGUCAAUAG